This 418-nucleotide ribosomal RNA is filed under the name uncultured Syntrophorhabdus sp. RNAcentral's name for it is "bacterial SSU rRNA". It matches the Rfam family "Bacterial small subunit ribosomal RNA", at positions 971 to 1382 of the family's 1533-position model. The record is from RNAcentral. Lineage: Bacteria; Pseudomonadati; Thermodesulfobacteriota; Syntrophorhabdia; Syntrophorhabdales; Syntrophorhabdaceae.
UUACCUGGGCUUGACAUGGAGAGAAUCUCCUAGGAAACAGGAGAGUGCCUCGCAAGAGGAGCUCUCACACAGGUGCUGCAUGGCUGUCGUCAGCUCGUGCCGUGAGGUGUUGGGUUAAGUCCCGCAACGAGCGCAACCCCCAUCCCCAGUUGCCAUCAUUAAGUUGGGCGACUCUGAGGAAACUGCCCGGGUUAACCGGGAGGAAGGCGGGGAUGACGUCAAGUCCUCAUGGCCCUUAUGUCCAGGGCUACACACGUGCUACAAUGGGCGGUACAAAGGGUCGCAAACCCGCGAGGGGGAGCUAAUCCCACAAAAUCCGCUCCUAGUUCGGAUUGGAGUCUGCAACCCGACUCCAUGAAGUCGGAGUUGCUAGUAAUCGCGGAUCAGCAAUGCCGCGGUGAAUACGUUCCCGGGCCUU